Molecule: ribosomal RNA, 292 nt
Filed under: uncultured bacterium
Lineage: Bacteria
Description: partial 16S ribosomal RNA
Rfam family: Bacterial small subunit ribosomal RNA
Source: RNAcentral
GUGUCAGCCGCCGCGGUAACACGUAGGGUGCAAGCGUUAUCCGGAUUCACUGGGUUUAAAGGGUGCGUAGGUGGGCUAGUAAGUCAGUGGUGAAAUCUCCGGGCUUAACCCGGAAACUGCCAUUGAUACUAUUAGUCUUGAAUGUUGUGGAGGUAAGCGGAAUAUGUCAUGUAGCGGUGAAAUGCUUAGAUAUGACAUAGAACACCAAUUGCGAAGGCAGCUGGCUACACAAAUAUUGACACUCAGGCACGAAAGCGUGGGGAGCAAACAGGAUUAGAUACCCUCGUAGUCC